GGGCGGUUAGCUCAGUGGUUAGAGCGCUUGCUUCACACGCAAGAGGCCACUGGUUCAAGUCCAGUACCGCCCACCA
RNAcentral lists this transfer RNA (76 nucleotides) under Chloroflexota bacterium. RNAcentral's name for it is "Chloroflexi bacterium (groundwater metagenome) tRNA-Val". It matches the Rfam family "tRNA". Rfam says of the family: Transfer RNA (tRNA) molecules are approximately 80 nucleotides in length. Their secondary structure includes four short double-helical elements and three loops (D, anti-codon, and T loops). The record is from RNAcentral. Lineage: Bacteria; Bacillati; Chloroflexota. RNAcentral also lists the same sequence under 2 other names.